UGCAAGUCGAACGGAAAGGCCCUUCGGGGUACUCGAGUGGCGAACGGGUGAGUAACACGUGGGUGAUCUGCCCUGCACUUUGGGAUAAGCCUGGGAAACUGGGUCUAAUACCGAAUACACCUCAUUGACUGCAUGGUUGGUGGGGGAAAGCUUUUGCGGUGUGGGAUGGGCCCGCGGCCUAUCAGCUUGUUGGUGAGGUUACGGCUCACCAAGGCGACGACGGGUAGCCGGCCUGAGAGGGUGACCGGCCACACUGGGACUGAGAUACGGCCCAGACUCCUACGGGAGGCAGCAGUGGGGAAUAUUGCACAAUGGGCGCAAGCCUGAUGCAGCGACGCCGCGUGGGGGAUGACGGCCUUCGGGUUGUAAACUCCUUUCAGCACAGACGAAGCGCAAGUGACGGUAUGUGCAGAAGAAGGACCGGCCAACUACGUGCCAGCAGCCGCGGUAAUACGUAGGGUCCGAGCGUUGUCCGGAAUUACUGGGCGUAAAGAGCUCGUAGGUGGUUUGUCGCGUUGUUCGUGAAAACUCACAGCUUAACUGUGGGCGUGCGGGCGAUACGGGCAGACUUGAGUACUGCAGGGGAGACUGGAAUUCCUGGUGUAGCGGUGGAAUGCGCAGAUAUCAGGAGGAACACCGGUGGCGAAGGCGGGUCUCUGGGCAGUAACUGACGCUGAGGAGCGAAAGCGUGGGGAGCGAACAGGAUUAGAUACCCUGGUAGUCCACGCCGUAAACGGUGGGUACUAGGUGUGGGUUUCCUUCCUUGGGAUCCGUGCCGUAGCUAACGCAUUAAGUACCCCGCCUGGGGAGUACGGCCGCAAGGCUAAAACUCAAAGAAAUUGACGGGGGCCCGCACAAGCGGCGGAGCAUGUGGAUUAAUUCGAUGCAACGCGAAGAACCUUACCUGGGUUUGACAUGCACAGGACGCCGGCAGA
RNAcentral lists this ribosomal RNA (935 nucleotides) under Mycolicibacterium sediminis. RNAcentral describes it as "bacterial SSU rRNA". It matches the Rfam family "Bacterial small subunit ribosomal RNA", at positions 56 to 1004 of the family's 1533-position model. Lineage: Bacteria; Bacillati; Actinomycetota; Actinomycetes; Mycobacteriales; Mycobacteriaceae. The record is from RNAcentral.